UUAACCCAGCUUCUUAAAGCGUGUAUGUUGUGUGGCUUUUGGAACAUAACGUUACAUGUUUUUGUGAGUAAAGUUAGGCAUUUCAUUUCUCUUGUUGUAUUUCAGAAAUCAUAACAGCCUGUCUUUUUUUAGCACAGCGGCAUUCAAAUUGACCAAUCAGAGCCGAGAAUAUCUAAUAAGUCGAAGUAGAGAUGAACAGAUGAAGAUACAGCCCGUAAAAAUACUUAUUCUUGGUGAGUGCCAUGUAGCGACGGAUCAAACGGACACUCAUGUCAAGCUUGAUGAGGACACAGUCAAAGCUUUAAAAGACCUUGUGAUUAAGUCUUCAGUGUCUGAAUGGCAAGAAGAAGUGACCCUCCACUUAAACGUGACAUUUAAACUGCUCUGUGUUUUGG
Paramisgurnus dabryanus is the source of this 395-nucleotide non-coding RNA. NCBI's taxonomy places the organism in Eukaryota, Metazoa, Chordata, Actinopteri, Cypriniformes, Cobitidae. The record is from RefSeq and is a predicted model, not a curated record.